This 21-nucleotide small nuclear RNA is filed under the name Arabidopsis thaliana (thale cress). RNAcentral's name for it is "snRNA_01806". The record is from RNAcentral. Lineage: Eukaryota; Viridiplantae; Streptophyta; Magnoliopsida; Brassicales; Brassicaceae.
CAUUGGGGGCGCAACGCCCUC